Molecule: ribosomal RNA, 253 nt
Filed under: uncultured bacterium
Lineage: Bacteria
Description: partial 16S ribosomal RNA
Rfam family: Archaeal small subunit ribosomal RNA
Source: RNAcentral
UACCAGCACCCCGAGUGGUCGGGACGUUUAUUGGGCCUAAAGCAUCCGUAGCCGGUUCUACAAGUCUUCCGUUAAAUCCACCUGCUCAACAGAUGGGCUGCGGAAGAUACUAUGGAGCUAGGAGGCGGGAGAGGCAAGCGGUACUCGAUGGGUAGGGGUAAAAUCCGUUGAUCCAUUGAAGACCACCAGUGGCGAAGGCGAGUCCCUGGACACUUCCUGACACUGAGGCACGAAAGCUAGGGGAGCAAACAGG